Molecule: ribosomal RNA, 426 nt
Filed under: uncultured bacterium
Lineage: Bacteria
Description: SSU rRNA
Rfam family: Bacterial small subunit ribosomal RNA
Source: RNAcentral
AUGGGCGCAGCCUGAUGCAGCGACGCCGCGUGCGGGAUGACGGCCUUCNGGUUGUAAACCGCUUUUGAUCGGGAGCAAGCCUUCGGGUGAGUGUACCUUUCGAAUAAGCACCGGCUAACUACGUGCCAGCAGCCGCGGUAAUACGUAGGGUGCAAGCGUUAUCCGGAAUUAUUGGGCGUAAAGGGCUCGUAGGCGGUUCGUCGCGUCCGGUGUGAAAGUCCAUCGCUUAACGGUGGAUCUGCGCCGGGUACGGGCGGGCUGGAGUGCGGUAGGGGAGACUGGAAUUCCCGGUGUAACGGUGGAAUGUGUAGAUAUCGGGAAGAACACCAAUGGCGAAGGCAGGUCUCUGGGCCGUUACUGACGCUGAGGAGCGAAAGCGUGGGGAGCGAACAGGAUUAGAUACCCUGGUAGUCCAAGGGCGAAUUC